CCUACGGGUGGCAGCAGUGAGGAAUAUUGGUCAAUGGCCGUAAGGCUGAACCAGCCAAGUAGCGUGAGGGAAGACUGCCCUAUGGGUUGUAAACCUCUUUUAUGCGGGGAUAAAGGUGUCCACGUGUGGAUGUUUGCAGGUACCGCAUGAAUAAGGACCGGCUAAUUCCGUGCCAGCAGCCGCGGUAAUACGGAAGGUCCGGGCGUUAUCCGGAUUUAUUGGGUUUAAAGGGGGCGUAGGCCGGUCUUUAAGCGUGCCGUGAAAGUUUGUGGCUCAACCGUAAAAUUGCAAUUGAUACUGGCAGUCUUGAGUACAGUUGAGGUAGGCGGAAUUCGUGGUGUAGCGGUGAAAUGCUUAGAUAUCACGAAGAACCCCGAUUGCGAAGGCAGCUUACUAAACUGUGACUGACAUUGAUGCUCGAAAGUGUGGGUAUCAAACAGGAUUAGAUACCCGUGUAGUC
RNAcentral lists this ribosomal RNA (460 nucleotides) under uncultured bacterium. RNAcentral's name for it is "partial 16S ribosomal RNA". It matches the Rfam family "Bacterial small subunit ribosomal RNA", at positions 338 to 795 of the family's 1533-position model. The record is from RNAcentral.